AAAAAGUCAAACCUUGAGUUUCCGUAUCCAACUUUAACUGUCCGUCUUAUAUGAAUUUUUUUUAUAAUUUGUAUUUUUAUUGUUGUUAGAUGAUAAAACAUGAUUAAUAUUUUAUGUGUGAUUUGUCUUUUUAAUUUUUUUUCAUAAUUUUUUAAAUAAGACGGACGGUUAAAUAUUGGGCACGGAAACUAGGGUUUGUCUUUUU
RNAcentral lists this microRNA precursor (205 nucleotides) under Oryza nivara. RNAcentral's name for it is "MIR812 microRNA precursor family". It matches the Rfam family "MIR812 microRNA precursor family". The record is from Rfam by way of RNAcentral. Lineage: Eukaryota; Viridiplantae; Streptophyta; Magnoliopsida; Poales; Poaceae.